Molecule: ribosomal RNA, 478 nt
Filed under: uncultured bacterium
Lineage: Bacteria
Description: partial 16S ribosomal RNA
Rfam family: Bacterial small subunit ribosomal RNA
Source: RNAcentral
GAUGAACGCUGGCGGCGUGCUUAACACAUGCAAGUCGAACGAGAAGUGAAGACGGAAACCUUCGGGCGGAAGGCUUUAUUUCGAGUGGCGGACGGGUGAGUAACGCGUGGGUAACCUGCCUCAUACAGGGGGAUAACAGUUGGAAACGACUGUUAAUACCGCAUAAGACCACAGCACCGCAUGGUGCGGGGGUAAAAACUCCGGUGGUAUGAGAUGGACCCGCGUUCGAUUAGCCAGUUGGCGGGGUAACGGCCCACCAAAGCGACGAUCGAUAGCCGAUCUGAGAGGAUGACCGGCCACAUUGGGACUGAGACACGGCCCAAACUCCUACGGGAGGCAGCAGUGGGGAAUAUUGCACAAUGGGGGAAACCCUGAUGCAGCGACGCCGCGUGAGUGAAGAAGUAUUUCGGUAUGUAAAGCUCUAUCAGCAGGGAAGAAAAUGACGGUACCUGAGUAAAAAGCCCCGGCUAACUACGUG